CCUGCCCAAAAAGGUGUUGCAGAUAUGGUCACAUAUAAAUCAGUAAAUGGCAGAGAGAAGAAAGACGAUGUCUAAACUGAAUGUUCUGACCUAUGAACAUCUGAAUCAUUAGUAGCCUAACAUU
RNAcentral lists this small nucleolar RNA (124 nucleotides) under Mus caroli (Ryukyu mouse). RNAcentral's name for it is "predicted gene, 24246 (MGP_CAROLIEiJ_G0036177.1)". It matches the Rfam family "Small nucleolar RNA SNORA17". Rfam says of the family: snoRNA ACA 17 belongs to the H/ACA family of snoRNAs and is predicted to guide pseudouridylation of the 28S rRNA at positions U4659 and U4598. Lineage: Eukaryota; Metazoa; Chordata; Mammalia; Rodentia; Muridae. The record is from RNAcentral.